GCUGCCCCUAGAAGCAUUACAGAUAUGACUGUUGUGUCACAUGUGUGUCAUUAGGUGGCAAAGAGAAGAGAGGCUUGUGUAUGUCCAGUGCUCUGAUUUGUGAGUCACUGGGUAAUUGAUAGUCUGACACU
Small nucleolar RNA from Erinaceus europaeus (western European hedgehog), 131 nucleotides. NCBI's taxonomy places the organism in Eukaryota, Metazoa, Chordata, Mammalia, Eulipotyphla, Erinaceidae. The record is from Ensembl.